Molecule: long non-coding RNA, 338 nt
Filed under: Mus pahari (shrew mouse)
Lineage: Eukaryota; Metazoa; Chordata; Mammalia; Rodentia; Muridae
Description: lncRNA (MGP_PahariEiJ_G0032885.1)
Source: RNAcentral
GAGUGUGGAUGGGGUGGCUGGAGGAGAAACCAAACAAGACAUAACAGGGAGCCUUUUUAACUCCAGUUAAACUCCUGCCCACACUUAAGAAAAAAAGGCGCAGAUAAUUCCAGGCACAUCUUUCUUUCUGUCCACCUUCUGCAAUCUCAAAUCCCAUCUGAGGAACUGUCCUCUUUUCUACUUCCCUCACUGUCCGUGAUCUUCCUUCUCUGAGAAAAUAUUCUCAAAAGCAUGGACUAGAGGCCGGUGCUGACUUCUGAUAACUCCAGCUCUUGGGGCUAUGAGGGCACAGCCCAAAUUCCUACAGAGAAAACACCCGCCUUCCAGUUUUACACCUG